This 85-nucleotide non-coding RNA is filed under the name Sporomusa sphaeroides. RNAcentral's name for it is "Sporomusa sp. c-di-GMP sequence". It matches the Rfam family "c-di-GMP-I riboswitch aptamer". Rfam says of the family: GEMM was predicted in a large-scale screen for bacterial structured RNA regulatory elements. Genes associated with GEMM are involved in a diverse array of functions, including chemotaxis regulation, signal transduction, secretion and chitin. RNAcentral also lists the same sequence under 1 other name. The record is from RNAcentral. Lineage: Bacteria; Bacillati; Bacillota; Negativicutes; Selenomonadales; Sporomusaceae.
AAAUAAUAUUGGCAAACCUCCUGAAAAGGCGGGACGCAAAGCCAUGGGUCUAAAGAUUCUAGUCUAAGAUUGCCAGGUUGCAGCA